This is a long non-coding RNA of Tachysurus vachellii, 497 nucleotides long. RefSeq lists it as uncharacterized. The transcript has 3 exons. NCBI's taxonomy places the organism in Eukaryota, Metazoa, Chordata, Actinopteri, Siluriformes, Bagridae. The record is from RefSeq and is a predicted model, not a curated record.
UGUUACCAUUUUCGUUAAUGUUGUAAACUUUGCUAAAAUUAAAAUUUGAAUUAUUUUUCAAUUUGUUAUUUCUUUAGAUAUAAUAAAAAUGAAGGUGCUUUUCAUUUGCCUGGUUGCUUUAGUCUUCAUAAACUACGGUGAGGCUUUGUGGUGUUAUGCAUGUGUUGGAAAAGGCUGUUCCGUUAGACGAGAGGAAUGUGGCUCUCUUUUGCAAAAUCCUGUUUGUGCCACCGUCGAUGCUCCCACCAUUUAUAUGAAAGGAUGCAUGAGUGAGUACAUCUGUAGGCAGCAACAGCAGGCUCCUGGUACCACUGCUGUCUGCUGCAGUUACAACUACUGCAACUAAUAAGAAGGACAUCAGCCUCUUUGUGAUCAUCGCUAGCCAAGAAUAUAAAUAAUUUACAGGAAUUAUUUAUAUUUCAGACAUGUGAUGUAUUAAUUGGAUUGUUAUGCUAAAUCAUGAGAAUUAAAUAAAAUAAUUAGCUGCAACCGCAAAA